ACCCUUUAAUGAUUCAUAAAUAUGAUGCUUGGGUGUUUGUGUCAUCACAUGAAAUGUACCUCCCUCUAUACCUUGUUACAUCAUCAGCACAUUACCUGCUUGAGG
Molecule: small nucleolar RNA, 105 nt
Organism: Heterocephalus glaber (naked mole-rat)
Lineage: Eukaryota; Metazoa; Chordata; Mammalia; Rodentia; Bathyergidae
Source: Ensembl